GAAACGACUGCUAAUACCCAAUAGACUCCGGUUUCGCAUGAAACCGACAGGAAAGGUGGCCUCUCGAAGAAGCUACCGCCGCAGGAGGGGUUUGCGUUUGAUUAGUUAGUUGGUGGGGUAACGGCCUACCAAGACGAUGAUCAAUAGCCGGUCUGAGAGGAUGAACGGCCACACUGGAACUGAGACGCGGUCCAG
RNAcentral lists this ribosomal RNA (195 nucleotides) under uncultured Veillonellaceae bacterium. RNAcentral's name for it is "partial 16S ribosomal RNA". It matches the Rfam family "Bacterial small subunit ribosomal RNA", at positions 153 to 334 of the family's 1533-position model. The record is from RNAcentral. Lineage: Bacteria; Bacillati; Bacillota; Negativicutes; Veillonellales; Veillonellaceae.